Molecule: ribosomal RNA, 404 nt
Filed under: uncultured prokaryote
Description: bacterial SSU rRNA
Rfam family: Bacterial small subunit ribosomal RNA
Source: RNAcentral
UGGGGAAUAUUGGGCAAUGGGGGGAACCCUGACCCAGCGACGCCGCGUGGGUGAAGAAAUCCUUCGGGAUGUAAAGCCCUGUUGUAUGGGAAGAGCAGAAGACGGUACCAUACGAGGAAGCCCCGGCAAACUACGUGCCAGCAGCCGCGGUAAUACGUAGGGGGCAAGCGUUGUCCGGAAUUACUGGGCGUAAAGCGCACGCAGGCUGAAUUAUAAGUCGGUAGUCAAAGGCGGAGGCUCAACUUCCGUUUAUCUAUCGAAACUGUAAAUCUAGAGUAUGUGAGAGGGAAGUGGAAUUCCCGGUGUAGCUGUGAAAUGCGUAGAUAUCGGGAGGAACACCAGUGGCGAAGGCGGCUUCCUGGCACAAUACUGACGCUCAUGUGCGAAAGCUAGGGUAGCGAACG